GCACCCAUAGUUGAAUGGAUACAAUGGCGGGUUCCGAACCCGUUGGUGAAGGUUCGAUUCCUUCUGGGUGCACCA
RNAcentral lists this transfer RNA (75 nucleotides) under Candidatus Beckwithbacteria bacterium CG1_02_47_37. RNAcentral describes it as "tRNA-Arg". It matches the Rfam family "tRNA". From Rfam's summary of the family: Transfer RNA (tRNA) molecules are approximately 80 nucleotides in length. The record is from RNAcentral. RNAcentral also lists the same sequence under 4 other names. Lineage: Bacteria; Candidatus Beckwithiibacteriota.